Molecule: non-coding RNA, 356 nt
Organism: Pelobates cultripes (western spadefoot toad)
Lineage: Eukaryota; Metazoa; Chordata; Amphibia; Anura; Pelobatidae
Source: the annotation of a GenBank genome assembly
CAGCAGGACAAUAUAUUAAAAGGGGAGACAGUUGGUCCCCCUCUCCAACAGCAGAGAGUGUUCCAGGGAGAGGAACCAGUUAUCACCUCUCCCCAGCAACAGGACAAAUUAUUGAAAGGGGAGACAGUCGGUCUCCCCCUUCAACAGCAGAGAGAGUGUCAGGGAGAGGAGCUUGUUAUCCCCUCUCCCCAGCGGCAGCUUAGCCCACCAAGGGGAGACAGUAAUCUCCACAACAGUGCAGAUGGGACAGUGGUCUCUGCACAUGCACCACCGGGGGUAGGGACAGUCGGUCCUGUCCCCCAGCAGCAGGACUGUUUAGGCAAAGGGGAGACAGUCUGUCUCCCCCUCCAGCAACC